This 253-nucleotide ribosomal RNA is filed under the name uncultured bacterium. RNAcentral describes it as "partial 16S ribosomal RNA". It matches the Rfam family "Bacterial small subunit ribosomal RNA", at positions 524 to 776 of the family's 1533-position model. The record is from RNAcentral.
UACGGAAGGGGCAAGCGUUGUUCGGAAUCAUUGGGCGUAAGGGGCGCGUAGGUGGUUCUGUAUGUCUACCGUGAAAGCGUACGGCUCAACCGUAUUUUGUCGGUGGAAACUGCAGGACUUGAGGCUGGGAGGGGCUGGUGGAAUUCCCUGUGUAGCGGUGAAAUGCGUAGAGAUGGGGGAGAACACUCGUGGCGAAGGCGGCCAGCUAGACCAGUUCUGACACUGAGGCGCGACAGCGUGGGGAGCAAACAGG